AGCAUCGCCUUGCCAAGGCGAGGGUCGCGGGUUCAAAUCCCGUUUCCCGCUCCA
RNAcentral lists this transfer RNA (54 nucleotides) under Nitrospira sp. Its description in RNAcentral is "tRNA-Leu". It matches the Rfam family "tRNA", at positions 22 to 71 of the family's 71-position model. From Rfam's summary of the family: Transfer RNA (tRNA) molecules are approximately 80 nucleotides in length. Their secondary structure includes four short double-helical elements and three loops (D, anti-codon, and T loops). Further hydrogen bonds mediate the characteristic L-shaped molecular structure. tRNAs have two regions of fundamental functional importance: the anti-codon, which is responsible for specific mRNA codon recognition, and the 3' end, to which the tRNAs corresponding amino acid is attached (by aminoacyl-tRNA synthetases). tRNAs cope with the degeneracy of the genetic code in two manners: having more than one tRNA (with a specific anti-codon) for a particular amino acid; and 'wobble' base-pairing, i.e. permitting non-standard base-pairing at the 3rd anti-codon position. Lineage: Bacteria; Pseudomonadati; Nitrospirota; Nitrospiria; Nitrospirales; Nitrospiraceae. The record is from RNAcentral.